GGUUGAACUCAUUGUUACGUACGCGCAGGCUGUAACG
RNAcentral lists this small RNA (37 nucleotides) under Vibrio cholerae O1 biovar El Tor str. N16961. The record is from RNAcentral. Lineage: Bacteria; Pseudomonadati; Pseudomonadota; Gammaproteobacteria; Vibrionales; Vibrionaceae.